AUUGAACGCUGGCGGCAGGCUUAACACAUGCACGUCGAGCGAGCGGCGGACGGGUGAGUAAUGUCUGUGAAACUGCCUGAUGGAGGGGGAUAACUACUGGAAACGGUAGCUAAUACCGCAUACCAUCAGAUGUGCCCAGAUGGGAUUAGCUAGUAGGUGGGGUAAUGGAUCACCUAGGCGACGAUCCCUAGCUGGUCUGAGAGGGUGACCAGCCAAACUGGGACUGAGACACGGUCCAGACUCCUACGGGAGGCAGCAGUGGGGAAUAGUGCACAAGGGGCGCAAGCCUGAUGCAGCCAUGCCGCGGGUGUGAAGAAGGCCUUCGGGUUGUAAAGAACUUUAAGUGAGGAGGCGUUACUCGCAGAAGAAGCACCGGCUAACUCCGUGCCAGCAGCCGCGGUAAGUC
RNAcentral lists this ribosomal RNA (406 nucleotides) under uncultured bacterium. Its description in RNAcentral is "partial 16S ribosomal RNA". It matches the Rfam family "Bacterial small subunit ribosomal RNA", at positions 30 to 526 of the family's 1533-position model. The record is from RNAcentral.